GACGAACGCUGGCGGCGUGCUUAACACAUGCAAGUCGAACGGAAAGGCCCUGCUUUUGUGGGGUUCUCGAGUGGCGAACGGGUGAGUAACACGUGAGUAACCUGCCCUUGACUUUGGGAUAACUUCAGGAAACUGGGGCUAAUACCGGAUAGGAGCUCCUGCUGCAUGGUGGGGGUUGGAAAGUUUCGGCGGUUGGGGAUGGACUCGCGGCUUAUCAGCUUGUUGGUGGGGUAGGUGCUUACCAAGGCUUUGACGGGUAGCCGGCCUGAGAGGGUGACCGGCCACAUUGGGACUGAGAUACGGCCCAGACUCCUACGGGAGGCAGCAGUGGGGAAUAUUGCACAAUGGGCGGAAGCCUGAUGCAGCAACGCCGCGUGCGGGAUGACGGCCUUCGGGUUGUAAACCGCUUUCGCCUGUGACGAAGCGUGAGUGACGGUAAUGGGUAAAGAAGCACCGGCUAACUACGUG
RNAcentral lists this ribosomal RNA (468 nucleotides) under uncultured bacterium. Its description in RNAcentral is "partial 16S ribosomal RNA". It matches the Rfam family "Bacterial small subunit ribosomal RNA", at positions 28 to 507 of the family's 1533-position model. The record is from RNAcentral.